GAAGCGUCAACCCGGCACCAGCACCCGCUGGACAAGACCGGGACUGCCUCGCCGCAAGGCGAGGCUGCC
Gordonia rhizosphera NBRC 16068 is the source of this 69-nucleotide small RNA. It matches the Rfam family "Transposase-2 RNA". NCBI's taxonomy places the organism in Bacteria, Bacillati, Actinomycetota, Actinomycetes, Mycobacteriales, Gordoniaceae. The record is from Rfam.